Molecule: ribosomal RNA, 426 nt
Filed under: uncultured bacterium
Lineage: Bacteria
Description: bacterial SSU rRNA
Rfam family: Bacterial small subunit ribosomal RNA
Source: RNAcentral
ACUCCUACGGGAGGCAGCAGUGGGGAAUAUUGCACAAUGGGGGAAACCCUGAUGCAGCCAUGCCGCGUGUGUGAAGAAGGCCUUCGGGUUGUAAAGCACUUUCAGUAGGGAGGAAGGUAGUGUAGUUAACACCUGCACUAUUUGACGUUACCUACAGAAGAAGCACCGGCUAACUCCGUGCCAGCAGCCGCGGUAAUACGGAGGGUGCGAGCGUUAAUCGGAAUUACUGGGCGUAAAGCGCAUGCAGGCGGCCUGUUAAGUCAGAUGUGAAAGCCCGGGGCUUAACUCGGAAUUGCAUUUGAAACUGGCAGGCUAGAGUCUUGUAGAGGGGGUAGAAUUUCAGGUGUAGCGGUGAAAUGCGUAGAGAUCUGAAGGAAUACCAGUGGCGAAGGCGGCCCCCUGGACAAAGACUGACGCUCAGAUGCG